This 406-nucleotide ribosomal RNA is filed under the name uncultured bacterium. Its description in RNAcentral is "partial 16S ribosomal RNA". It matches the Rfam family "Bacterial small subunit ribosomal RNA", at positions 29 to 526 of the family's 1533-position model. The record is from RNAcentral.
AUUGAACGCUGGCGGCAGGCCUAACACAUGCAAGUCGAACGAGUGGCGGACGGGUGAGUAAUGUCCGGGAAACUGCCCGAUGGAGGGGGAUAACUACUGGAAACGGUAGCUAUUACCGCAUACCAUCGGAUGUGCCCCGAUGGGAUUAGCUAGUAGGUGGGGUAACGGCUCACCUCGGCGACGAUCCCUAGCUGGUCUGAGAGGAUGACCAGCGACACGGGAACUGAGACACGGAACAGAGGCCUACGGGAGGCAGCAGUGGGGAAUAUUGCACAAUGGGCGAAAGCCUGAUGCAGCCAUGCCGCGUGUAUGAAGAAGGCCUUCGGGUUGUAAAGUACGUGCAGCGAGGAGGCGGUACUCGCAGAAGAAGCACCGGCUAACUACGUGCCAGCAGCCGCGGUAAUUC